This 228-nucleotide ribosomal RNA is filed under the name uncultured bacterium. Its description in RNAcentral is "partial 16S ribosomal RNA". It matches the Rfam family "Bacterial small subunit ribosomal RNA", at positions 568 to 795 of the family's 1533-position model. The record is from RNAcentral.
CGCGUAGGCGGUCUUGUCGGUCAGAUGUGAAAGCCCGGGGCUCAACCCUGGAAGUGCAUUUGAAACAGCAAGACUUGAAUACUGGAGAGGAGAGCGGAAUUCCUGGUGUAGAGGUGAAAUUCGUAGAUAUCAGGAGGAACACCGAUGGCGAAGGCAGCUCUCUGGACAGAUAUUGACGCUGAGGCGCGAAGGUGUGGGUAGCGAACAGGAUUAGAUACCCUGGUAGUC